AUGGUACUAUACCUGUCAGACUUUUGUCAGUUGAGUUCAGGAGAAGUAUUUGCCUCAACCCGUCCUCGACAUGCCAGGCCCGCACAAGUGCAGCGACCCGACACCACAAUGAUCAAGAUGCGUGGGUUUGCUACAGUCCUUGCUGGGGCAGCGGAUGGACCUGAUGGCCCACAUAGGAGUGUUGCGCGCGGGCGGCUAGGGGCUCCUGGGAGUGGAUCUACAUCUCGGAAUGAACAAGGGUUGCAAUCUCUCUCUGUUUCCCCAUCUUCUCUUAGCUCUUACUCGCCGCGCAACACGGCAUCCUAG
This 306-nucleotide ribosomal RNA is filed under the name Triticum aestivum (bread wheat). RNAcentral describes it as "partial small subunit ribosomal RNA". Lineage: Eukaryota; Viridiplantae; Streptophyta; Magnoliopsida; Poales; Poaceae. The record is from RNAcentral.